Molecule: ribosomal RNA, 250 nt
Filed under: Salmonella enterica
Lineage: Bacteria; Pseudomonadati; Pseudomonadota; Gammaproteobacteria; Enterobacterales; Enterobacteriaceae
Description: partial 16S ribosomal RNA
Rfam family: Bacterial small subunit ribosomal RNA
Source: RNAcentral
AAAUUGAAGAGUUUGAUCAUGGCUCAGAUUGAACGCUGGCGGCAGGCCUAACACAUGCAAGUCGAACGGUAACAGGAAGCAGCUUGCUGCUUCGCUGACGAGUGGCGGACGGGUGAGUAAUGUCUGGGAAGCUGCCUGAUGGAGGGGGAUAACUACUGGAAACGGUGGCUAAUACCGCAUAACGUCGCAAGACCAAAGAGGGGGACCUUCGGGCCUCUUGCCAUCAGAUGUGCCCAGAUGGGAUUAGCUA